RNAcentral lists this ribosomal RNA (253 nucleotides) under uncultured bacterium. RNAcentral describes it as "partial 16S ribosomal RNA". It matches the Rfam family "Bacterial small subunit ribosomal RNA", at positions 524 to 776 of the family's 1533-position model. The record is from RNAcentral.
UACGUAGGUGGCAAACGUUGUUCGGAAUCACUGGGCUUAAAGGGCGCGUAGGCGGUCGAUCAAGUCAGGGGUGAAAUCCUGCAGCUUAACUGUAGAAGUGCCUUUGAUACUGGUCGUCUCGAGGGAGGUAGGGGUGUGUGGAACUUCCAGUGGAGCGGUGAAAUGCGUUGAUAUUGGAAGGAACGCCGGAGGCGAAAGCGACGCACUGGACCUCUUCUGACGCUGAGGCGCGAAAGCUAGGGGAGCAAACGGG